GCUCAAGUUUUGAGCUACAGUGAAUCGCUCACUUCCUUCAUAUUUGAAAGGCUACUGUAUCACUUUCAUCCUUAUAUUUUAUUAUAAUUUUAAUACAUAGCCGGUUACUUUUCUCUCUCUCUCUCCUUUCCCUCCCCGCGUCUUUCUCCCCCCCUUUCUCUCUUUCUCUCGUUUUCGUCCGAGCUCAGAAAAUCGAAAGGGACUCUUCUCCUCCACGCAAAAUCAAAGCAAAUCCAUGGUUUCUCUCCUCAAAUCAGAAGCAGAGUGAUUUACUGGGUUGCUUCCUUCAGCACUUGGCGCAACGUUCUGCUUCCUUCAGUUGAAUUUGUGAAGGUUUAUUGGCUCCAAAUGUUGCAGCUGUAUAGUUGCAGUCAAUAGUAUAGUUUGUAGGUUUUAUUAGAUCCAUCCGAGAUGUAUAUUCCAUAUUGUGUACCAGUUUUAGAAUCUGAAUUUGUAAAGUUGUGUAGAGCUAAAUCCAGCUUUUAAGAAACUGGUUUUAUACGAGAUGUGUAGCUUUUAAUCCACUGAAUUUGUAUUUCUAUUUAAGAAGAUGUUGCAGCUGUAUGUCUCAUAUUUAUA
Long non-coding RNA from Carya illinoinensis, 579 nucleotides. RefSeq lists it as uncharacterized. NCBI's taxonomy places the organism in Eukaryota, Viridiplantae, Streptophyta, Magnoliopsida, Fagales, Juglandaceae. The transcript has 3 exons. The record is from RefSeq and is a predicted model, not a curated record.